GUGCUCACUUUGGCAGCACAUAUACUUAAAUUGGAAUGAUACAAAGAAGAUUAGCAUGGCCCCUGCUCAAGGAUGACAUGCAAAUUGGUAAAGCAUUUCAUGUUUUU
This 107-nucleotide small nuclear RNA is filed under the name Bison bison bison. The record is from RNAcentral. Lineage: Eukaryota; Metazoa; Chordata; Mammalia; Artiodactyla; Bovidae.